RNAcentral lists this ribosomal RNA (872 nucleotides) under Inonotus nidus-pici. RNAcentral's name for it is "eukaryotic LSU rRNA". It matches the Rfam family "Eukaryotic large subunit ribosomal RNA", at positions 66 to 915 of the family's 3401-position model. Lineage: Eukaryota; Fungi; Basidiomycota; Agaricomycetes; Hymenochaetales; Hymenochaetaceae. The record is from RNAcentral.
UAACAAGGAUUCCCCUAGUAACUGCGAGUGAAGCGGGAAGAGCUCAAAUUUAAAAUCUGGCGGUCUUCUGGCCGUCCGAGUUGUAGUCUGGAGAAGUGUUAUCCGCGUCGGACCGUGUACAAGUCUCCUGGAAUGGAGCGUCAUAGAGGGUGAGAAUCCCGUCCAUGACACGGACCGCCGAUGCUAUGUGAGGCACUCUCAAAGAGUCGAGUUGUUUGGGAAUGCAGCUCAAAAUGGGUGGUAAAUUCCAUCUAAAGCUAAAUAUUGGCGAGAGACCGAUAGCGAACAAGUACCGUGAGGGAAAGAUGAAAAGCACUUUGGAAAGAGAGUUAAACAGUACGUGAAAUUGUUGAAAGGGAAACGCUUGAAGUCAGUCGCGUGCCGUGGAACUCAGCCUUGCUUCGGCCUGGUGUACUUUCUGCGGGACGGGUCAACAUCAGUUUUGGCCGGUGGAAAAAGGCAGAGGGAAUGUAGCGCUGUUUCGGCGGCGUGUUAUAGCCCAUUGUCGAAUACGCUGGCUGGGACUGAGGACCGCAGCACGCCCUUGUGGCCGGGGGUUCGCCCCACGUAACGUGCUUAGGAUGUUGGCAUAAUGGCUUUAAGCGACCCGUCUUGAAACACGGACCAAGGAGUCUAACAUGUCUGCGAGUGUUCGGGUGGAAAACCCUUGCCGGUAAUGAAAGUGAAAGUUGGGAACCUCCGCAAGGGGGUGCACCGACGCCCGGCCCUGAAGUUUUCUGACGGUGCUGCGGUAGAGCAAGUAUGUUGGGACCCGAAAGAUGGUGAACUAUGCCUGAAUAGGGCGAAGCCAGAGGAAACUCUGGUGGAGGCUCGUAGCGAUUCUGACGUGCAAAUCGAUCGUCGAAUUUGGG